Molecule: long non-coding RNA, 2240 nt
Filed under: Theobroma cacao (cacao)
Lineage: Eukaryota; Viridiplantae; Streptophyta; Magnoliopsida; Malvales; Malvaceae
Description: long non-coding RNA (TCAC_LNC002899)
Source: RNAcentral
UCACAGUCCAAAUCCCGGGCCAUGACCGGCGCAUGGGCUCAAUGGGCAUAGCCCACUAGGCCCAAGCAAGCCUCUUUAUGAGAUCUUGUUCCUCAUUACAUCCAUAAUCUUUCAAACCAUGUGUUGUAAUUCUCAACGGUGAAUGUUUCAAUAAUAUUUUAUAGCAAUCGAAUAUUCAUAUUUGUAUUAUCUCAAAGUACUGUCAUUCAUUGCCAUCUCAUAAGGGCAUCAUCAUCAAUCCAACAUAUACAUACUUCAUUUAUAACAUGACUCCUAGUAGUUUACAUUACAUAUACGUGUACACAGACAAAAGACUCUCAACCGUUAGUGAAGUGACUUUAAGUGAAGGUACCGCUACUGAGAUGCCAUAGUACCUACCAAGAAGACGAGCAUGCGUGGACACUCAAUCUAGGUCUUAACUGCCUCAGAAUCUGAAAACAUGAAGUUUUAAAAACGUAAGUAUAAACUUAAUGAGUGAACAUAGGAAGGGAACAAGCAACGACAAGGAAUGUUUUAGAAAACAUAAUGCACUUACGAUAAACUAUGCAAUUUAGUCUAAUUUUUGGUUAAAACCCCUCAUUUCAAACUUUGAAUGUUUAAUCCCUUAAUGUUACAAGAUUCAUGAUGAACCAUAAAGUUGAAUAGAAUGAAAAUUUCAGCAAUGACCAAGCAAGACAAACAAAUAGAGCGUUUUUGCGCUGCAGCGAAAAGGUAUUCUUGGUUUGUAUAUGUUUCGGUUUUUCAAGCAUAUCUCCCACUACAAAAGUCCAAUUGACAUGAUUUUUAGACCAUUAGAAAGCUAAGAGGCUAGGAUACAACUUUGAUGUUUACUACUUUACCUAGUUCUAAUCGAAAAGUGGUCAAAAUCUUUGUUGAAGUGACAGUACUACACUAGAAUCUUGGAAUCACCCGAGAGUUUCUCACUACAACGAGAAUGCUCAGGAAAUUUCUCGUUGCAGCGAGAACCAGACUAGUGUAACCCCCCUCCAACCCGAGAGUUUCUUGCUACAGUAAAAAUGAAUCUCUCUGCAGUGAGAAACAGAGCAAUUUAGUUAAAAAGGGUCUUGUUAUAUCAAAAGCCAUUUUCUUGUUGAAAUGAAAAGCAAUUUGGGAGCAAUUAACAAUGCCAACAUACAACAUAAUCACAAUUAUUUUCAUAAACUUUCUAUAACAUAUAUAUAUUUGUAUAUACAUACAUCAUCAUGCAUACCAUCCCACCACACUCAGCUCAUGUGCACUUCCUACACGCAUAAGGCAAUAUCAUCAUCAUGUGCACUCCCUACUUGUAUAUUUCAAUAUCAUCAUCAUGUGCACUCCUUACUCGCACAUUUUAAUAUCAUCACACGCACUCCCGCCCACAUCAUUACCGGCAUGUGCUCUCCCACACCACACACACACUGUCAUAUUUAUUACACGAUAUUAUCUAUAAAGACACAACACAUAUGUUUGUAUACCAACGAACUAAAUGAGUACGUGGACUCAUCACAGUCACAUUUCACAAUGCAAAAUGUUUCAUUGAAAGCUUGUUCCCGUAUACAUUUAAAAAAAAAAAGACAAUUAAACCUUUCAAGUAAUACACUCAAACAUUUACACAUUUACCCCAAAGCAUUUUAAUGCAAGUUCACUCACCAGUAUUUGUUAAAUCUUUACCCAACUCCAACUUCCUCUAAUGGUGCAAAUGGGGUGAUAGGGCUUCGUUGGAACCUAUCAUCACAAUAGUAUCACAAUUCAACUCAAUUCACAUAACCAUAAUUCUAAAAGCUAUCUCCUAAAUCAUGUUCUACUAAUUAUCCCUAACUAACUUCCAAUUUCCUUUAAGCAGUUAUUUACUUUCACUAUUCUAACCACACUAAAGAUGAAUAAAUAUCCUCAACUACAAAACAUUCACAAAUCUAUCCACUAGCCAUUUCAACAACUUAAAGAUCAACUCUAAUUCACUACUCACCUUGGUAGCUUUGUAAUGAAAUUUUUUUCCAAAACUUUUCAAGCUAUUAUAGAAGCUCCCUCUUUCUCUCUCUAAAACACCUAGCUAGUGAGAGGAAGUAUGGAAGUAAGACUUUUUAAGGGGUUUAAAGUGAGAGAAUGAAAGAGCACAAAAGGUUCUAUGAAAAAGUGCACUAAAGCAUGAAAAUUAGAGUUAACUUGAGAGAAGUUAUGGAGGUUUCAAAACAAGCUUCCAUGGAGAAUGAAAGAAAUGUGAGAUGGGAUGAAGAAGAAGAAGAAGCUACUGGAAAAAUGAG